RNAcentral lists this ribosomal RNA (508 nucleotides) under uncultured bacterium. RNAcentral's name for it is "bacterial SSU rRNA". It matches the Rfam family "Bacterial small subunit ribosomal RNA", at positions 8 to 526 of the family's 1533-position model. The record is from RNAcentral.
AGAGUUUGAUCCUGGCUCAGAUUGAACGCUGGCGGCGUGCUUAAAACAUGCAAGUCGAACGAGGUCCAAGGAGUGGCAACACUCCGGAAGACCUAGUGGCGAACGGGUGCGUAACACGUGAGGAACCUGCCCCGGAGACCGGGAUAACCCUCCGAAAGGAGAGCUAAUACCGGAUGUCCUCGUCUGAUCGCAUGGUCGGACGAAGAAAUGGAUUCCGCUCCGGGAUGGCCUCGCGGCCUAUCAGCUUGUUGGUGGGGUAACGGCCUACCAAGGCAGCGACGGGUAGCUGGUCUGAGAGGACGAUCAGCCACACUGGGACUGAGACACGGCCCAGACUCCUACGGGAGGCAGCAGUUAGGAAUCUUGCGCAAUGGGCGAAAGCCUGACGCAGCAACGCCGCGUGGGGGAUGAAGGCUCUCGGGUUGUAAACCCCUUUCAGCAGGGACGAUUGUGACGGUACCUGCAGAAGAAGGACCGGCCAACUACGUGCCAGCAGCCGCGGUAAUUC